UCCCUGCGUCGUGGCGCUAAAUGGUGGUGGGCCGUGGCCAUUUCCUACGUUCCCGAGUUGAACUUCUACGGUAGGUUGCUGGACACGGUGAAUCGGUAUUAUCCAAAUAGGGUUGCAAAGCGUAAAUUGAAGAAACAGAGUUUUAACUCUGCAGCAGUUCUGCAGAACUAACGUAACCCUGUAUCGGUUGUUUUUUAUUUUUUAUUGCGUUGCUGCUACUAUCUGGUAAAGCUAUUACCAGAGACGCCAUUUCUGCUAGUAGCUCGCCAACUUUUAGGCCUACACACGCCACAUUGGGAGUGAGCGCGUUCAGUUUGUUGUUGAGGCCUAGUUAUACUUUGCCAUGAAAAUGGAAUUCGAGGAUAUCCUACUGUGACCGCUUUUGCUGGGUGGGUGUCGCGGAAGAAGACAUCCGAGGGGGGGAGGACACAUGAACACGGAGAGAACAUGCAAACUCCACACAGAGAGGACCCAGACCAGGACUCAAGACCCAGAACCUCGUUCUCUCAAGGCAACAGUGCUGACCACUACACCGCCAUGCCAGUACAUGCCACCACGAUCUCUGUCUUGAAAAAGAAGAAAAGUGAUGUUCCCGCCCGGUUUCGAACCGAGGACCUUUCGCGUGUUAGGCGAACGUGAUAACCACUACACUACGGGAACUGAUCUGAGGGUGCCAGGAUGUCUGUUGGCGUUUGACUACAGGGAAAAACAAUAUUUCAG
This is a long non-coding RNA of Anguilla anguilla (European eel), 720 nucleotides long. RefSeq lists it as uncharacterized. The transcript has 3 exons. The record is from RefSeq and is a predicted model, not a curated record. NCBI's taxonomy places the organism in Eukaryota, Metazoa, Chordata, Actinopteri, Anguilliformes, Anguillidae.